AAGAAAUGUGGCAUGCCCGUUGUGAUUACUCUGAUGAUUGAUGUAUUAUUAUUAUUUUAAUUGAUUUUGGGAAACGGGGUGUUACACUUGG
This is a microRNA precursor of Medicago truncatula (barrel medic), 91 nucleotides long. It matches the Rfam family "MIR2617 microRNA precursor family". NCBI's taxonomy places the organism in Eukaryota, Viridiplantae, Streptophyta, Magnoliopsida, Fabales, Fabaceae. The record is from Rfam.